RNAcentral lists this ribosomal RNA (468 nucleotides) under uncultured bacterium. RNAcentral describes it as "partial 16S ribosomal RNA". It matches the Rfam family "Bacterial small subunit ribosomal RNA", at positions 28 to 507 of the family's 1533-position model. The record is from RNAcentral.
GACGAACGCUGGCGGCGUGCUUAACACAUGCAAGUCGAACGGAAAGGCCCUGCUUUUGUGGGUUGCUCGAGUGGCGAACGGGUGAUUAACACGUGAUUAACCUGCCCUUGACUUUGGGUUAACUUCAGGAAACUGGGGCUAUUACCGGUUAGGAGCUCCUGCUGCAUGGUGGGGGUUGGAAAGUUUCGGCGGUUGGGGAUGGACUCGCGGCUUAUCAGCUUGUUGGUGGGGUAGUGGCUUACCAAGGCUUUGACGGGUAGCCGGCCUGAGAGGGUGACCGGCCACAUUGGGACUGAGAUACGGCCCAGACUCCUACGGGAGGCAGCAGUGGGGAAUAUUGCACAAUGGGCGGAAGCCUGAUGCAGCAACGCCGCGUGCGGGAUGACGGCCUUCGGGUUGUAAACCGCUUUCGCCUGUGACGAAGCGUGAGUGACGGUAAUGGGUAAAGAAGCACCGGCUAACUACGUG